GAACAGAUAUUAGAUACCUUGGUAGUCCACACAGUAAACGAUGAAUACUCGCUGUUUGCGACAUACAGUAAGCGGCCAAGCGAAAGCAUUAAGUAUUCCACGUGGGGAGUACGCCGGCAACGGUGAAACUCAAAGGAAUUGACGGGGGCCCGCACAAGCGGAGGAACAUGUGGUUUAAUUCGAUGAUACGCGAGGAACCUUACCCGGGCUUGAAUUGCAGAGGAACAUAGUUGAAAGAUUAUGGCCGCAAGGUCUCUGUGAAGGUGCUGCAUGGUUGUUGUCAGCUCGUGCCGUGAGGUGUCGGCUUAAGUGCCAUAACGAGCGCAACCCUUAUCAUUAGUUACUAACAGGUCAUGCUGAGGACUCUAGUGAGACUGCCGUCGUAAGAUGUGAGGAAGGUGGGGAAGACUUCAAAUCAGCACGGCCCUUACGUCCGGGGUUACACAAGUGUUACAAUGGGGGGUACAGAGGGCAGCUACCGGGCGACCAGAUCCCAAUCCCAAAAACCUUUCUCAGUUCGGAUCGAAGUCUGCAACCCGACUUCGUGAAGCUGGAUUCUCUAGUAAUCGCGCAUCAGCCACGGCGCGUUGAAUACGUUCCCGGACCUUGUACACACCGCCCGGCAAGCCAUGGGAGCCGGGGGUACUUGAAGUAACUAACCGCAAGGAGCGUCCUAGGGUAAAAUUGGUGACUGGGGUUAAGUCGUAACAAGGUAGCCG
RNAcentral lists this ribosomal RNA (719 nucleotides) under uncultured bacterium. Its description in RNAcentral is "bacterial SSU rRNA". It matches the Rfam family "Bacterial small subunit ribosomal RNA", at positions 770 to 1502 of the family's 1533-position model. The record is from RNAcentral.